ACGAUACAGUGGCAGACGGGUGAGUAACGCGUGGGAACGUACCUUUCACUACGGAAUAGCUCCGAGAAAUUGGUGGUAAUACCGUAUACGCCCUCAGGGGGAAAGAUUUAUCGGUGAAAGAUCGGCCCGCGUUGGAUUAGCUAGUUGGUGAGGUAAUGGCUCACAAAGGCGACGAUCCAUAGCUGGUCUGAGAGGAUGAUCAGCCACACUGGGACUGAGACACGGCCCAGACUCCUACGGGAGGCAGCAGUGGGGAAUCUUGCACAAUGGGCGAAAGCCUGAUGCAGCCAUGCCGCGUGAAUGAUGAAGGCCUUAGGGUUGUAAAAUUCUUUCGUCAGGGAUGAUAAUGACCGUACCUGAAGAAGAAGCCCCGGCUAACUUCGUGCCAGCAGCCGCGGUAAUACGAAGGGGGCUAGCGUUGUUCGGAAUUACUGGGCGUAAAGCGCACGUAGGCGGAUUUUUAAGUCAGGUGUGAAAUCCCGGGGCUCAACCUCGGAACUGCAUUUGAAACUGGAAGUCUUGAGACCAGGAGAGGUUAGCGGAAUACCGAGUGUAGAGGUGAAAUUCGUAGAUAUUCGGUGGAACACCAGUGGCGAAGGCGGCUAACUGGACUGGUACUGACGCUGAGGUGCGAAAGUGUGGGGAGCAAACAGGAUUAGAUACCCUGGUAGUCCACACCGUAAACGAUGAGAGCUAGUUGUUGGCAGGCAUGCCUGUCGGUGACGCAGCUAACGCAAUAAGCUCUCCGCCUG
Molecule: ribosomal RNA, 752 nt
Filed under: uncultured Alphaproteobacteria bacterium
Lineage: Bacteria; Pseudomonadati; Pseudomonadota; Alphaproteobacteria
Description: bacterial SSU rRNA
Rfam family: Bacterial small subunit ribosomal RNA
Source: RNAcentral